Molecule: ribosomal RNA, 306 nt
Filed under: uncultured bacterium
Lineage: Bacteria
Description: partial 16S ribosomal RNA
Rfam family: Bacterial small subunit ribosomal RNA
Source: RNAcentral
GACAGCAGUAGCCGCGGUAUACGUAGGGCGCAAGCGUUGUCCGGAAUUAUUGGGCGUAAAGAGCUCGUAGGCGGUCUGUCGCGUCUGGUGUGAAAUCCCGAGGCUCAACCUCGGGCUUGCAUCGGGUACGGGCAGACUAGAGUGCGGUAGGGGAGACUGGAAUUCCUGGUGUAGCGGUGGAAUGCGCAGAUAUCAGGAGGAACACCGAUGGCGAAGGCAGGUCUCUGGGCCGCAACUGACGCUGAGGAGCGAAAGCAUGGGGAGCGAACAGGAUUAGAUACCCCCGUAGUCCCUGUCUCUUAUACA